This is a non-coding RNA of Cyanistes caeruleus (blue tit), 1700 nucleotides long. The record is from RefSeq and is a predicted model, not a curated record. NCBI's taxonomy places the organism in Eukaryota, Metazoa, Chordata, Aves, Passeriformes, Paridae.
AAACAAGAAUCAGGCAGCAGAAGUCUAAAGGAAAAUGAAAAGGAGAAGCACUUAGAGUAAUUUUUCCCUUUCCUUUCCUAUAGUCAAUAUGCAGAAGGGCAUCUUUUGCAUGUCUACUACCAGCCAGUUAAUAUUUUCUUACCCUCAUCCCUUAACUGAGGUUCCUAAAGCCCUUUGCAGCCACUGCUUCACUCAGUCUCAGGUACUCCCAGGAGACAGCUGGUGUCACUAACCUGCUUAUAAAAGGAGGGGCAGUGAGCCACAUUUAUCUGUGCAAAGCCACCUAACAGACAGUUCCUGGAACACAAAUUAGGAGGUGGGAUUCUCAGUUUUGACUUUAACCUUCAAGCUAGGUUUCCUCCUUUCCCCAAACCUGCAGUGCCAAACCACUGCAGUAUCAAACGUGCAACAGCAUCCUCCAUCUUCUCGUCAUCUUUGGUACCACAUCAGAGUGGAGGCUGCAAGCCCCCAGACAGUCACCUGCCUUUUGAGGAAAUUUCCAUUUAGGAAGCUGAACCAGGGGAUUCAUGCUUUUGGCUAUUUGUAUUAUCCUUCAUUUCUGUAAUGGAGCAUCAUCAUUGAGGAGGGAGUUACACAGAAAUUACUUCUUUAGGUGCUGCAUCUGUCCCAUGUUUAAGCACAGUGAGAAGGUCUGAUGUUUUUCCCAAUGUACCACCUACUUCUAUUCCAAUGUUUUUUCCUUGCAUCUGUGGGCAAUUCAAAAUCUCACCAUGAGACCACCUGUGCAGGGAUACAGCCCACAGAAGUUCUCAGCUGUGGCUGCAGCAAGAACCAGCAUAGAAGAAUUUUUCCAUACCCAUGACAAUUGAAUCAUAGCAUUGCCUAAAUAUGCAAAUUUUGAUUUUUCUCAUUUUUUUACUUUCAGGUCUGAGUGGACACAGCCAACAUCUUGAGGUGCCUAUAUGAGAGAUGUGUAGAGACUUUCACUGACAAGCCAUUACUGUGGUACAGCACAGGACAUGAACAAGAGGCUCCAUAGCAUCUGAGAUGGCAGUGAAAAUCCCAUGACAGAGGCAAGAUCCUUGGAGACAGGUACCAACAAGAAUCUCUGAAGAGGACAUUGGGAAAGACUGUGGAGUAGCCUGGGCCACUGACUACACUUUGUAGUGGAGACUGUGUGACAAAUGUGAAGGGAGUACAUACAACAAGCAGGAGACCUGAAACAAAGCCUUGUGAGGAGUGGAGCCUCUGUGCACACAAAUGACACGUGAGAUGCCCAUCUCAGGCAGGCUGUGCAUCUGCAGCUCCUUGCUCAAAUGACUCCAAAUUUGCCCCAAGUGGUUUUAGCCAGGGCCUCUGGGAAGUUCAUCAGUAUUGCAAAAAUCAGAUCGAGCAUAUGAAUAUUGGGGUGUGUUGCAUACUUCCUCAUUCAGCAGAAUACGAUGCUCAUUCUUCGCUACAGCAGAGCAAUGCACACUCUCCAGCAUGGAUCUGAGUGUAUACAGUGCUGAAGUAUUGUAAGUAAUAAAUGGUGUACCCAAAAGUGCCUAGCUGCAGUGGUGAUUAAUCACUUAGGCCCUGAUCCUGCAAACAUGCAUGAGUUUAAUGUUACUACUAUGAGUAAUCCCCUUGAUUUCAAAUUAGAUUAGUCACAGUCUUAACACUUGGCACGUGAAUAAAUGUUUGCAGGGCUAGAGCCCUAUUUAUGGCCUGAUCUUGCAAAUUAUUACUGUCUAGCA